Molecule: ribosomal RNA, 292 nt
Filed under: uncultured bacterium
Lineage: Bacteria
Description: partial 16S ribosomal RNA
Rfam family: Bacterial small subunit ribosomal RNA
Source: RNAcentral
GUGCCAGCAGCCGCGGUAAUACGGAGGGCGCAAGCGUUGUUCGGAAUUACUGGGCGUAAAGCGCGUGUAGGCGGCUAAGCAAGUCGGUUGUGAAAGCCCAGGGCCCAACCCUGGAAUUGCGUCCGAAACUGCUUGGCUAGAGUCCUGGAGAGGAAGGCAGAAUUCCCAGUGUAGGGGUGAAAUCCGUAGAUACUGGGAGGAAUACCCGUAGCGAAGGCGGCCUUCUGGACAGUGACUGACGCUCAGACGCGAAAGCGUGGGGAGCAAACAGGAUUAGAAACCCGCGUAGUCC